Molecule: ribosomal RNA, 1568 nt
Filed under: Limosilactobacillus fermentum IFO 3956
Lineage: Bacteria; Bacillati; Bacillota; Bacilli; Lactobacillales; Lactobacillaceae
Also listed under: 1 other name
Description: bacterial SSU rRNA
Rfam family: Bacterial small subunit ribosomal RNA
Source: RNAcentral
AGAGUUUGAUCCUGGCUCAGGAUGAACGCCGGCGGUGUGCCUAAUACAUGCAAGUCGAACGCGUUGGCCCAAUUGAUUGAUGGUGCUUGCACCUGAUUGAUUUUGGUCGCCAACGAGUGGCGGACGGGUGAGUAACACGUAGGUAACCUGCCCAGAAGCGGGGGACAACAUUUGGAAACAGAUGCUAAUACCGCAUAACAGCGUUGUUCGCAUGAACAACGCUUAAAAGAUGGCUUCUCGCUAUCACUUCUGGAUGGACCUGCGGUGCAUUAGCUUGUUGGUGGGGUAACGGCCUACCAAGGCGAUGAUGCAUAGCCGAGUUGAGAGACUGAUCGGCCACAAUGGGACUGAGACACGGCCCAUACUCCUACGGGAGGCAGCAGUAGGGAAUCUUCCACAAUGGGCGCAAGCCUGAUGGAGCAACACCGCGUGAGUGAAGAAGGGUUUCGGCUCGUAAAGCUCUGUUGUUAAAGAAGAACACGUAUGAGAGUAACUGUUCAUACGUUGACGGUAUUUAACCAGAAAGUCACGGCUAACUACGUGCCAGCAGCCGCGGUAAUACGUAGGUGGCAAGCGUUAUCCGGAUUUAUUGGGCGUAAAGAGAGUGCAGGCGGUUUUCUAAGUCUGAUGUGAAAGCCUUCGGCUUAACCGGAGAAGUGCAUCGGAAACUGGAUAACUUGAGUGCAGAAGAGGGUAGUGGAACUCCAUGUGUAGCGGUGGAAUGCGUAGAUAUAUGGAAGAACACCAGUGGCGAAGGCGGCUACCUGGUCUGCAACUGACGCUGAGACUCGAAAGCAUGGGUAGCGAACAGGAUUAGAUACCCUGGUAGUCCAUGCCGUAAACGAUGAGUGCUAGGUGUUGGAGGGUUUCCGCCCUUCAGUGCCGGAGCUAACGCAUUAAGCACUCCGCCUGGGGAGUACGACCGCAAGGUUGAAACUCAAAGGAAUUGACGGGGGCCCGCACAAGCGGUGGAGCAUGUGGUUUAAUUCGAAGCUACGCGAAGAACCUUACCAGGUCUUGACAUCUUGCGCCAACCCUAGAGAUAGGGCGUUUCCUUCGGGAACGCAAUGACAGGUGGUGCAUGGUCGUCGUCAGCUCGUGUCGUGAGAUGUUGGGUUAAGUCCCGCAACGAGCGCAACCCUUGUUACUAGUUGCCAGCAUUAAGUUGGGCACUCUAGUGAGACUGCCGGUGACAAACCGGAGGAAGGUGGGGACGACGUCAGAUCAUCAUGCCCCUUAUGACCUGGGCUACACACGUGCUACAAUGGACGGUACAACGAGUCGCGAACUCGCGAGGGCAAGCAAAUCUCUUAAAACCGUUCUCAGUUCGGACUGCAGGCUGCAACUCGCCUGCACGAAGUCGGAAUCGCUAGUAAUCGCGGAUCAGCAUGCCGCGGUGAAUACGUUCCCGGGCCUUGUACACACCGCCCGUCACACCAUGAGAGUUUGUAACACCCAAAGUCGGUGGGGUAACCUUUUAGGAGCCAGCCGCCUAAGGUGGGACAGAUGAUUAGGGUGAAGUCGUAACAAGGUAGCCGUAGGAGAACCUGCGGCUGGAUCACCUCCUU